CCUCUGUUUAUCCCCCACAAACCGAGCUUGAAGCUCUCCUCUCUUUUCUCUCUCCUUUCCAUGGCCGGCUAUCACUGUCGUCGGCCGAUCUCCCUCACCGGAGCAAUACCGGACAAUCCCUCGCGCCAUCGAGCUUUCCUCGAUGAGAGGAAUCCAUUUUUCCCCUUUCCCCUCUUCCUCCACCUCUGAAUCAAACCUCACCGGAGCUCUCUCUCUCCUCCCGGUUCACGACCUUCCAUCCGCCGUUCCGGCUAUUUCCCUUACUCCCUUUGCCGGCCACUGCCAUCCCUAGGUGCGUUGCAGUCGGGAACACCAGUGGCCGCCGGCGUUACCGCCUCCUCGCCACCGGAGCCCGGCGCCCCCUCUCCUUCUCCUCUCUGUUCGACCAAGGAGAAAAAGAAGAAAGAGACGGGAAGAAGAAGAAGAGGAGAAAAAGAAAAAGAAAAAGGAAUCCCUGACAGAGUCCGUUUGAUGUUCUUACUGAAGCCGGGAGUUCAAUCAUAUAAGUUAAUCUCAUUUUAACUUAGUUCUCAAGUAUAGAUUAGAUAGAUGGUUUAAGUCUAUAGCAAAACACUAGAGUUGAGUCAUCGUAUAGCUUCUGCUGUAAUAGUUAGCCACAAGCUUGUAAAUACCCUUAUAUUUUGUAAUAUUAUCUCCUUUGAAACCUUGAUCAAAUGUAUGCAAUGAAGAUCCAGAUCAUUGAACCUAUAUCAAUCUACUGAUCCAGGGCUUGAUACA
This is a long non-coding RNA of Oryza sativa Japonica Group (Japanese rice), 738 nucleotides long. RefSeq lists it as uncharacterized. NCBI's taxonomy places the organism in Eukaryota, Viridiplantae, Streptophyta, Magnoliopsida, Poales, Poaceae. The record is from RefSeq and is a predicted model, not a curated record.